RNAcentral lists this non-coding RNA (183 nucleotides) under Solanum tuberosum (potato). RNAcentral describes it as "Bacterial large subunit ribosomal RNA". It matches the Rfam family "Bacterial large subunit ribosomal RNA", at positions 865 to 1028 of the family's 2925-position model. The record is from Rfam by way of RNAcentral. Lineage: Eukaryota; Viridiplantae; Streptophyta; Magnoliopsida; Solanales; Solanaceae.
UGCGUUGAGGCGCAACAGUUGACUGGACAUCUUGGGGUAAAGCACUACUUCGGUGUGGACCGCCUCAGCUGUACCAAAUCGAGGUAAACUCUGAAUACUAGAUAUGACCUCAAAUUAAGAGGGCUCAAGGUCGGCUAGUGAGACAAUGGGGGAUAAGCUUCAUUGUCGAGAGGGAAACAACCU